RNAcentral lists this ribosomal RNA (253 nucleotides) under uncultured bacterium. RNAcentral describes it as "partial 16S ribosomal RNA". It matches the Rfam family "Bacterial small subunit ribosomal RNA", at positions 524 to 776 of the family's 1533-position model. The record is from RNAcentral.
AACGUAGGUUGCGAGCGUUAUCCGGAUUUACUGGGCGUAAAGCGCGUUCAGGCGGUUUGGCAAGUCGGGCAUGAAAUCCUUCGGCUCAACCGGGGGAGGUUGUCCGAUACUGCUAAUCUGGAGGGCAGUAGAGGGUGGUGGAAUUCCGGGUGUAGUGGUGAAAUGCGUAGAGAUCCGGAGGAACACCAGUGGCGAAAGCGGCCACCUGGACUGUACCUGACGCUGAAACGCGAAAGCUAGGGGAGCGAACGGG